AUAUUGCCAAUUAUGUGGCUGCCAUUGUCAAAGAAGAUGGCUGCAAUGGUGGGUUGUUGGUGGCAGCCAACAACCAUUGUCUAAUGUCAAAGUUUGGUAAGUUUGGCAGCCACCAUUGUUGACAAAAGAGCUGGAGGAGCUGCCAUGGAUGCCUAUAAAUAGAGGAAUACAUUAGAGAGCAAAAUGAGAGAGUGUGUAGAGCCAAAGAUGUGAGAAAUGUAGGAGAGAGUGGGCUGCCAAGGCAGCCAGCAGUAGCUGCCAUUGCAGCACUGAAAAGAGAGAAAUAGAGUGAGGUUGAGAGUUGCCAAAGAGGGGAUGAUUCCUCCUCCUCUAUUGUUGUAAAUCUUGUUCUCUCCCUGUAUAAUGCAAUGGCUUCUCCCGUGGAUGUAGGCAGUUUGCCGAACCACGUUAAAUAUUGUGUCAGUGUGCUUUACCUCCUAUGAGCAAAUAUCAGAACAUCACCGGUCGGAAUUCCCUACAAUUGGUAUCAGAGCAUAUGGUUUGAAGUGGUGUUUGAUUUUUGCUCAAAAAUGAGAGUUGUCAAAAUUGUGUUUUGACCAUACCACCGUGUAGAGGAGGAAGAGACGAAGCCACUGGUGAAAACGGCGUCAAAAUCAGACGUUGGACAUGGCCGCACUCUCCAUCACUCUCCGGCAAGGCGUCUGCCUACGCGCGCAAACGCGCCCCACGCGUGCCACGCGUCUUCUUCGCCCGGAUGGGCUGACCCGACCCGAAUACCAGUUGACCCGACCCACAUGGCUGACCCGGAUAAUAAUGACGUCAGCAUGACAUAAUUGUGAUGUCAGCAUGCACAGUAGGCAUGCCAGAGAUGACAUCAGCCUGAUGUAAGUGUGAUGUCAGCAUGCACAGUAGGCAUGCCAUGUCAGCAGCCACAUCAUCGACCAGUCAGCAGACACGUCAGCAAAGUGGGACCCACCUUGAGCCGAGUUGAGCCGAGCCGUUGUGGAGCUGAGCCGAGCCGCGAGCCGAGGGAUAAGAUUCUGUGCAGCAGAGUCUAUGUGCAACCGGAUCUGAUAUUGAAUCUGGGCCGUUCAUCAGGCCAGAAUUGUUUUGAUCAAAUCGUAGCCGUCUGAAAUGCGAUUUGGACGAUUUCAGACUUGUUUCCAGCUAAUUGGAUCGUUCCGAAUGCAAUAGUACGGUCCGAUCGUUGAGAUUUGAGACCGAAAGUGGUGGUGGUGAAUUAACAAAAGAGAUUGCCCGAUCAGGAGGCAUCUAAAGGUCAUCAUGGUGGUCGAUGGAGAUGAAGAAGAACAUGUCACACAUGUUUACCCAAUUACAUGUGCUGAACUGCUAAGUGGAGAGAAUUUUAAUUGCCUUGAGGGAAGGCAAAAUUGGGACACUCUAGACACCCAAUCAAGUGGACAAUUUGAGGUGGAGAGUGGAAAUUUGAUGAAGACCAAUCUUGACGAAUCUAAGAACUGGUAGUCUCGUCAAAUGUUGAGAAAUCAGGUAUAAAACCGGGAUACCCCAGAUCACUUGUAAAGGAAAGCCGCAACAAAGCUAGCAAAUGGUUGUAUAUACGAAAAGGCAGUACGGUGGAUAGAUACGUUCUAAGAAGUUCUGUCUAGGAGAUUGGGUUUUAAGCGGGACCAGUGUGACCCCUCCAAAUCUUUCCUGGGAACUUGCUUAGUUAAAGGAUCAUCCACACAGUACUAUUUUUGUAUAUGUAACAGUUUGUAAUGAAACUGUUGAAGACUAGCAAGAUGACGGCACAAAGGAACAGUUGGGUUCUAUAUGUUCAAGGAUCUGAUGGAGUGGUGAUUUCUCCAAAGAAGUUAGAUUCGGUGACUGUGAUUUCUCGAAGGGAUAAUUAAUGAAGACCCUGAUAAUGGAAGAGAAAUACAACAAGGGAUAAAGAUUGGCACCCUAUUUUGACUUGAAUAAAUGUUGUGACAGGAUGAGCUGCUGUCAAACAUAAAAGCAAAGAAUAUGGAGAAAUCUGGAGAACCGAAAUUGCACGAGAGCACACGGAGAUUGUGCAGGAGUACCCGAAGGAUCCAACGAGGUACUGUAAUGAGACAACAGAUGCAAGGAGAAGAAGAGUUCCCAGAUGAAGCUCAGAGCAGAGACUGUGUGAAAAAUUGUACAACAGGAAGUCUCUUGUGCUCUUGAUAAAGGCAACAAACGAGGACCUUUCCAAUGCAUGCAAGGAUGGAAAGAUGAGCUGUUGCAGAAGCACCUAAUUAAGGGGGUGCGACCGCCGAUGAAAGGCGAAGACACCAAAGAGAGUUGGUGUGGGUGGAGCUAUCAAACAGAAAGGCAUAGAAGCUCCAAACAUAGAAAAUGAGAUGAAAGAUUGCGAAGAGUGCACCACAACUCUCUCUUUCUAUGUGAUCAGUGGCAGUGAUCUCUCCCAAGUCCACAUGGUGGUAGAGAAUCUUGGAGCCACUGGAGACAUCCCCGAUGAAGGAGGAUGUGACCGCUUCAUGAUGAACGGAGACACCUCAGGCAGAAGGUGUGUGGGCCAUGAAACGAGCCCAAAUACAGACCGCCACAUGACGAUGAGCGGAGACACCUCAAAUAGAAGGUGUGUGGGCCAUAAAACGAGCCCAAGUACAAACCGCCACAUGACGAUGAGCGGAGACACCUCAAAUAGAAGGUGUGUGGGCCAUAAAACGAGCCCAAGUACAAACCGCCACAUGACGAUGAGCGGAGACACCUCAGGCAGAAGGUGUGUGGGCCAUGAAACUAGCCCAAGUAGAAACCGCCGCAUGACGACGAGCAGAGACACCUCAGGCAAAAAGGUGUGUGGGCCAUGAAAGGAGCCCAAGUACAGACCGCCUCAUGACGACAUGCGGAGAGACCUCGGAUAUAAGGUGUGAGGACCAUGAUAUGAGUCCAAGUUCAAACCGUCUCAUGACGACAGGCGAAGACACCUCAGACAGAAGGUGUGAGGACCAUGAUAUGAGUCCAAGUUCAGACCGUCUCAUGAAGACAGGCGAAGACACCUCAGGAUGGAAGGUGUGAGGACCAUGAUAUGAGUCCAAGUUCAGACCGUCUCAUGACGACAGACAGAGACACCUCAGGAGAAGGUGUGAGGGCCAUGAUAGGAGCCCAAUUUCAGAACGCCCUAAAGACCGAUGUGAUGGCUGGAUACAAGUGGACAGGUGUAUGGAUAGCCAAUGAAGUGGUUAUGAUGAGUAUGGAGAAAAUACAGGAUUGACUUUCAUGGAUAUUGCCCCCAUGCUAAAGAUUAAUGAGCUAGAAGACAUUUGCCUUGGACAAUAAGUGUGUGACUUGUGGAGCAUUAAGACGUGACUGCUAUGAAGGAGCAGAGGGCAUGCGCAGGUUCCGGGAACAAGUUGACUCUUGUCAAGGUGGUGAGCUCAGUAAAUGGCAUUGUAAUACUCAGAGUAUGAAGAUAGAGAUGGAUCAACCUUUAAUGGGCUGCCCCCAUGGUUUAAGGUAGAGAGCUACCUGGACUCUUGAGACUAAGAGAGAGAGACUCACGGAGAAGUAAGGCGUGGUUCCUAGGGAGGAACAGAGGGCAGACGCAACUCCGGGAUGAGUAGACUCUUGGAAAAGUGGUGAGCCCGAGAUCACAUUAAAAUACUCAAUGACUGUCGCACUUGGAAAUAUCCGUUUGAGGGGGUGUUGUAAGCCUUGAUGUAAGGCUUGAUAAAUCAUUCCGGGCCAAGCAUGGUUGAUAUGCUUGAAGGGGAAUGCAGUGUCCUAGAGACAAGCGUUAACACUCUUCAGAUGUGAUGUGGUAGAUCAUCUGGUUGAAGUGAUCCUUUGGAGUGAGCAAAGGGGUGCUUGGGUGACUCUGGCGAUUGAAAGGUUUGGCAAGUACCUGUAAACUUGGCCAAAGACGCUCUCGGAAUGGUAAGCUUCGAAGAGCUGCAGGAUGCAAGCGUGUGCUAAAGAAGCAAGAGGACAAUUGCCCACAUAAAUGGCAAAGGGGGUGAUUGUUGGAAUAUUGCCAAUUAUGUGGCUGCCAUUGUCAAAGAAGAUGGCUGCAAUGGUGGGUUGUUGGUGGCAGCCAACAACCAUUGUCUAAUGUCAAAGUUUGGUAAGUUUGGCAGCCACCAUUGUUGACAAAAGAGCUGGAGGAGCUGUCAUGGAUGCCUAUAAAUAGAGGAAUACAUUAGAGAGCAAAAUGAGAGAGUGUGUAGAGCCAAAGAUGUGAGAAAUGUAGGAGAGAGUGGGCUGCCAAGGCAGCCAGCAGUAGCUGCCAUUGCAGCACUGAAAAGAGAGAAAUAGAGUGAGGUUGAGAGUUGCCAAAGAGGGGAUGAUUCCUCCUCCUCUAUUGUUGUAAAUCUUGUUCUCUCCCUGUAUAAUGCAAUGGCUUCUCCCGUGGAUGUAGGCAGUUUGCCGAACCACGUUAAAUAUUGUGUCAGUGUGCUUUACCUCCUAUGAGCAAAUAUCAGAACAUCACCGGUCGGAAUUCCCUACAUUUGAGAAGAGGAUAAUUCGCGCACCUCGGGUAUCUGCUCCUGAUCCCAACAGAAUGCACAUUCAAAUCGCACCACCACCACGUCCACCACCACCUGGAACCAUAUAUUAAGAUCGAUCUAAAUCGUCUUUCCUCCAUUUCCUUAGAGGGGUUCUUGUGAUUACUAGUUCUCAACUAGGUUUGAUCUCCUAAUGUUUCGUUUCUGUAUUAAUUCUCAGCUGUUUAAUUUCCUUGCUAUCCUGUAUUGAAUAUAUAAUUUAUCAUAAGC
Molecule: long non-coding RNA, 4685 nt
Filed under: Populus trichocarpa (black cottonwood)
Lineage: Eukaryota; Viridiplantae; Streptophyta; Magnoliopsida; Malpighiales; Salicaceae
Description: long non-coding RNA (PTRI_LNC004500)
Source: RNAcentral